Molecule: ribosomal RNA, 490 nt
Filed under: uncultured bacterium
Lineage: Bacteria
Description: partial 16S ribosomal RNA
Rfam family: Bacterial small subunit ribosomal RNA
Source: RNAcentral
AUUGAACGCUGGCGGCAGGCCUAACACAUGCAAGUCGAACGGUAACAGGAAGAAGCUUGCUUCUUUGCUGACGAGUGGCGGGCGGGUGAGUAAUGUCUGGGAAACUGCCCGAUGGAGGGGGAUAACUACUGGAAACGGUAGCUAAUACCGCAUAACGUCGCAAGACCAAAGAGGGGGACCUUCGGGCCUCUUGCCAUUGGAUGUGCCCAGAUGGGAUUAGCUAGUAGGUGGGGUAACGGCUCACCUAGGCGACGAUCCCUAGCUGGUGUGAGAGGAUGACCAGCCACACUGGAACUGAGACACGGUCCAGACUCCUACGGGAGGCAGCAGUGGGGAAUAGUGCACUAUGGGCGCAAGGCUGAUGCAGCCAUGCCGCGUGUAUGAAGAAGGCCUUCGGGUUGUAAAGUACUUUCAGCGGGGAGGAAGGGAGUAAAGUUAAUACCUUUGCUUAUUGACGUUACCCGCAGAAGAAGCACCGGCUAACUCCGUG